This 605-nucleotide ribosomal RNA is filed under the name uncultured bacterium. RNAcentral's name for it is "bacterial SSU rRNA". It matches the Rfam family "Bacterial small subunit ribosomal RNA", at positions 109 to 706 of the family's 1533-position model. The record is from RNAcentral.
AGGAAUACGUGGGUGACCUACCCCUGAGUGGGGAAUAACCUGCCGAAAGGUGGGCUAAUACCGCAUACGCUGUCUGGUUUGCGGAUCAGGCAGGAAAGCCGUCCCGUGGGGGCGGCGCUCGAGGAUGGGCUCAUGUCCUAUCUGCUUGUUGGUAGGGUAACGGCCUACCAAGGCAACGACGGGUAGCUGGUCUGAGAGGAUGAUCAGCCACACUGGCACUGCGACACGGGCCAGACUCCUACGGGAGGCAGCAGUGAGGAAUAUUGCGCAAUGGGCGAAAGCCUGACGCAGCGACGCCGCGUGGGGGAUGAAGGUCUUCGGAUUGUAAACCCCUUUCGGGAGGGAAGAUGGCGCGGGGUAACCCGCGCGGACGGUACCUCCAGAAGCAGCCACGGCUAACUUCGUGCCAGCAGCCGCGGUAAUACGAAGGUGGCAAGCGUUGUUCGGAUUUACUGGGCGUAAAGAGACCGUAGGCGGUGAGGUCAGCCCUGUGUGAAAGCUCCCGGCUCAACCGGGAAAGGUCGCAGGGUACUGCCUCGCUAGAGGGCGGGAGAGGAGCGCGGAAUUCCCGGUGUAGCGGUGAAAUGCGUAGAGAUCGGGAGGAA